UAUUAUAAAACUAUUAUAUAUAAGCAUGUUUUUUAUAGAAAAUAGAACAAAAGAAACAAAAAUAGGAAUUAUAUAUUUCUUUAAAAAAGAAAAAAGAUUAUUUUGAUGGUGGAUUGGUGUAAUUACGCCUGAAUUUUCCAACGCCAUCUAACAAUCUGUCCUGGAAAUAGAAAACUGAUAGAGAAAUAAUAGUGCUGUUCUUAUUAGACGUAUAAGGUUAAGUUAUCUUAAUUUUAUAAUCAAUCUUUGUUUAAAAAAUAGAUUGAUAGAUACGUUUGAUCCUAUGGCUUGUUAUAGUGAUAUACUUUCGUUAUGUGUAACAAUUAUGUUAAGUUAAUACCAAUAUGCAAGAAAAUCAUUUGCAUAAUCAUAUUUUCAAUAUAUAUAGAUAUAUCAUAAAAUAAUAUUUUACUAUAAUGUCUUUAUUACGAAUUAUUCGAUAUAACGAAUUAUUCGUUACUUUUCCGUUAACUGCAAGAGAAUUCCUUUUGAGUAAUUCGUCCAAAAGAAAAAGCAAUGUCGUCGUUCAAUUCAAGAAAGACUUCAACGCCAUAGUUAGUUCAUCUAUUAAACAAGAGUACAAGAAACAAAAGAUUCUAUCAAACAUUUAUAAAGUUGGUUGAAGAACAUUAGCAACAGAUGCAACUUAACAUUAAAAAUAAAUAUGAAACAAAUUUCAAGCAAAUAAACAAGAUAAUGAAGUAACAAGAGAUACUGACCAGUCGCAUUUUUCAUGGAAAGACUUUUUGGAGUAUUUAUAUCCACAUACUUGUUAUUUAUUGAUUUCUUUGUCAGUAAGUAUGAAAAUAUUAAUAAAAAGUAAAUUAAGCGUACACAAUACAAUUAUCUUCCUUCAAAUGUUCAUAAAAAUGAUAUAACAAAAAAUACUCUAAUCAAAUUAGAUUAUAGAUAUAAAAUUUAUUUAUCGACCAACAGAAAUUAAAUUUAUUAGGUAAUAUAAAUUUAAUUAAUUGUGCAAGUGUUGCGGUACCGGAUGAGAUAUUUUCUACCGUCUUCGUGUAAAUCCAUAUUGUUUCACUACAUACUGUAUAUUUUUUUAUUUGUAGAGCGCCCUAAUGGUUACAAUGUUAAAUUCUUGGAUACUGCAGUCUAUCGGUAAUAUCAUAAAUAUAUUGACAAAAAUAUACCAAGACAAAAAAAAAAUGAUUCUACAUUGAAUACUUUGGAAAUACUUCUUAGACCACCAUUUGUGCUGGCACAUAUAUAUGUUGCACAAGUAUGCACAUUUUAUAUAUCUUCCAAAAUUUCAAAUAUGUAUUCAAAAUAUGUACAUCGCAAGGCUAAAGAAGUUCUACACAAUUUAUUGAUCGUGUUAUUUCCAUAAUAAUGUUAUAGCCUCAGCUGAGAGUAUCAAUGUUAUUACGUAUGUCAACAGUUUUAUAUUUAUUGGUAAUCUAUUAGGAAAAAACUUGCGUAAUUUUUCUACAAAAACUCAAAAUCAAAUUGUGGAAGCUGCUGUUUGUGAAGAAGCUAUCCAAAAUAUACCAACGGUAAAAGCGUUUGCAGCAGGAAAUCAAGAAAAAGAAGUACUUUCUAAAGAAGUUGAACAUGCAACUGAGUUAUAUGAAAAUUUAGAAUUUUGAUAUUGGUUUGUUUUUUUAGCAGGAACAGAUUUAUUUUGAAAUAGUAUUUUGCUUCGUUCAUUGUACUUUAGUGAUCAUUUAAUAUCUAUUGGGCAAUUAACAUUUGGCGAACUUAUGGCAUUUUUCAUGGCAACUGAAAUAGUUCAAAGAUUUUUCUCUCAAUUAUCUUUAUUGCUUGGAGAACAUACGUAAUAGGAAUCAGUUCAAGUGCCUAAUUUGAAAUUUAUUUUAUGAUACUUAAAUAUGCCAACAACGCCAAUGGUAGUCGGAGAAAAGAUAAGAAAGGACUCUCAGGGAAUAUAGAAUUGAAAAAUGUGCAAUUUAACUAUCCAACUUGGUCGAAUCAAGUUAUUUUGAAGAAUUUUAUUUUGGAUAUUAAUAUAUGCAUAAAAAUUUUAAUAUUUUUUCAAACUAUUUCAUUAUAUAUUAUGCAUUAUUAAAUGUUAUAGAUCGUAAAAGCGACGAAAGAAGUUAAUGCUCGUGAAUUCAUUACAAAAUUUCCAUAUAGUUAUGAGAUCUAAAUUGGCAAAAGAGAUGCUAUAUUAACUGGUUGAUUGAAGCAACCAUCAAUCUUUGUAUUAGUUGAAGCAAUGAUGUAUAAAAGGACUAAAUAUUGAUAAUUUAUCUCGUAUCUUAUCUUGUAUUCUAUAUGAAUUUUCUAUUUUAGCUUUUUGGAUUAUUAAAGUAAAAGAAUAGUUUACAAUGCAUUAGCAAAUGUAACCUAAGGUAGAACAGUGUUGGUUAUUACUGAUAGACUAAGUACUAUUAACGCUUGUUGUGUACUUGGAGUGUAGGACAUUUUAGACCAACUUUAAACUCAAUUUAAAUGAAGUUAACCCUUUGCACUCAGAGCUAUUUUCGUGCGAAUGAAUCAGCAACUGGAGACAUUUUGUCGCGCUUUUGAUAAAUUUCUUACUUCUAACUUAAAAUGAUUAAACACACAAAUUAUCCUAUCAAACUUUUAUAUUUUAACAUUUUAUGUAUCUUUACAUCUUUACGAAGAUAAUUUCUUAAACAUUAGUCUUUGUAAUUUUUCUUUGUAUAAUAUUUCAUAUAACAAUUGCCGAGAUGGAUUCCCAGCUUUUCGGGACAAGUAUUACAAUAGUAUGUUGUUUGAUAUCUUUUGCCGACUUUAUUUUUUUGAGAACAGACUUUACAAUCCUUCCUAAUUCUUGUUAGAAUGUUAUGCGGUUUUCCAUUCAGACGGAUCUUUUCGGAAUCAGAGGUUGAGGUUGAAGUUCGAUCACUAUUAUCAUCACUGCUCGUGUUCUCUCUAUCGUCAAGCUCUCUGAGUAUAGAUGUAAUUUCUUCGUUAAGUAACGUUACAUCAAACUCAUCUUCAAUUGACUAAGUUUCAUGCUUAUGGGGAUCAGAAAGUUCAAUUUUUAUAAUCCUUUUGUCACGACUUUCAAGUUCGAACUAAGACCGAUAAUGAAGUCCGGUUGAUGGUUGCGCAUUAAUUUCAAAUAAGAAAACAAUAUUUCCAUUUGAAACGAAGUUUGUUAUCUUCGUAACAUUAUACAGGAAGAGCUUAGGAACACAAUUGAAUGAAAGAAAACAAAAAGUUCUCACUGUGCAUCGAAUUUCUACAUCGAAACAAAGUGGUGAGCGAGUAUCUCACCUCUCGAAUUGCGGCAUUAAAUCAUGUGGUGAAUGAAAGUCAUUUCUCCAGUGCAAAGGGUUAAUGUUUGUCAUUAGGAUUUCUACAAUCAUUUAUCUGUAGUUGAGAUAUGUAUCGUUAUAUACCAAUCGAUAGAAUAGUCCGCGUUGUAUCACAGUCGCUGAGUUGUGAUCGAGUAAAUUUAAAAUUUGUAAAAUCUGAAGUGUACCACAUCCUGUGUGCACAAAUCCCGUGUGUAAAUUAUUUUUGCAUUAAUUUUUGAUUUUCUAUUAUUAAAAAUUUUUAGUCCAUUCAUGCUCUAAGUAAUGUAAUCCUUCAUUUAAAUGUGAUAGAAAUUAUUUUCUAAUUUUAUAUAUCAUUCAUAUUCAAAAUCAAAUGUAAUCGAUGAGAAUGGAAAACUACCUAUUAUACAGUACUAUAAUAAAAAUAAAAGAAUCGACUCUUUUGAUCAGUUAUGUCAUUUAUUCACUGUUUAACUCAUUCGA
Unclassified non-coding RNA from Vespa mandarinia (Asian giant hornet), 3710 nucleotides. The record is from RefSeq and is a predicted model, not a curated record. Lineage: Eukaryota; Metazoa; Arthropoda; Insecta; Hymenoptera; Vespidae.